Magallana angulata is the source of this 1461-nucleotide long non-coding RNA. RefSeq lists it as uncharacterized. The record is from RefSeq and is a predicted model, not a curated record. NCBI's taxonomy places the organism in Eukaryota, Metazoa, Mollusca, Bivalvia, Ostreida, Ostreidae. The transcript has 2 exons.
UUCCCGCAAAUUUUGUGCACGAGAUUUCUCGAACAUUUUUUGUAUGAUUGCUAUGAAACUUUCAGGGUAUGUAGAUGAUAUUAAUAUCUCUAGACGUUUUUUUCAAAUUUUUAAAAUUCACUUCCGGUUAUGAGUUAUUGCCCUUUAAUUGAAAAUUGGGGGGUCUUUUGUCCAGAGUUGAUCUCGGGAACUACAGAUGAUAGAUGCAUGAAAUUUGGCGAAAUUGUCGGUAACAUUUUAUAGUUUUGCUGGCAUGAAAAUUUUGGUAAUUUCUUUGUUAGUUUUUGAGCUAUUUGUCGCCAAAGUUUAAGAUUUUUUCGGGGCUGAAAUUUUGUUGCUUUUUGUAUUAUAACCUUUAAACUAAAGAUAUUUUGUUAAUACAUAUAGAACAAAAGUUGUUUAGAAUAACGAGAGCUUUCAUUUAAAAUUAAGAAAAAAGGGCUGGCCCCUAUAAUUAGGGGUCAGCAGCUCAUACACGUAUUUUUCUGAUAGCAAAAAUCGUUAUCAUUUUAUGAAAAAAAAUUAAUUCAGUUAUUGUUAAUAUAUUAAAUAAUGUCAUUUGGUAUCAAAUUUAAAAAGUUCUGUGCCCUAUUUUUUUCAAAUUUCAUAAAACAAAUAUGUGUGAAUCGUAACGUUACAUGAACGAGUUAAUUUGUCUACAUAGACACACAAGCGAACAAAUGCCACUUUAAGGCCCAGGCAUAUACUGCAUUACGUUGUGUUGCGUCUUAGAUAAAUAGUUGUGAUUCAAUUUCAUUUUUUUCAUCUAUAUCAUUUAUGAAUUCAAUGAACACACAUUAUUUUAACGUUCUAUGUGCAACUAUUUGUCGGGGCGCCCCUGUUUGUAACCCCCGCGCGCGCGCCGAAUGUAAACAGUAACGAACGGCAUUGUAGAAAAGAGAGAGCCGUAAUGCAGAAGAGAAGUUGUGUAUUCUUUCGACGUACAAAUGCAUUUUCAAUUUACUGUGAAACAUAUGAACAUGCACAGGGAACAAUACUACAUAUUUGUUUAAGGAGGAUAUUUUUCUCGUGUGAAUCGUUUACGAGGAAAUUCUGACAGCCACACUUCUGUCGACGAUCAGCCGUUGAUAAGCUACGAGUAAUAAAGGGGAAAAGAUGGACAUUAAAGUGUGUGAUUUAUGUGGAUGUUACUGAAGAAGCUCAAAACAGACUCUUGUUACCACAUGGCUUUUACCGGUACCUGUUGAUUCUUGUGGGUCAGCUCCUGAGAUUAACCUGUCACCUCUAUCCACAUGCAUAUUCCUUGUGUUCUACAGACUAUUUACCGGUAAUUCAAAUUAAAUCCGAUGAUGCAUAAACAAUAAUGGAACUUGAAGAAAGCAUCAUGCCAUGUUGUGGUUUGUGUUUGAUAAGAAAUUAUGAAAACAAAAUUAAGGCUGUUUAUAAAGAAAUUCAUAAUUGCUGUGAAAAUUUGUUUUUCAAUAAAAGUAUGCAAUUAUG